UUGACUCAAGAGAACGCUGGGAGGAAGGAGGAGGGUGGGAAGCGAGAGAUGAUAAGCCCAGCUCUGAGAGAAGCGCUCACAAAACAAGGUUACAAGCUGAUUGGGAGCCAUUCUGGGGUGAAGCUCUGCCGAUGGACAAAGUCGAUGCUCCGAGGCCGAGGAGGAUG
Molecule: long non-coding RNA, 167 nt
Organism: Pezoporus flaviventris
Lineage: Eukaryota; Metazoa; Chordata; Aves; Psittaciformes; Psittacidae
Exons: 3
Source: RefSeq, a predicted model, not a curated record